GGAGAGUUGGCAGAGUGGUCGAAUGCGGCGGUCUCGAAAACCGUUGUGGGCGCAAGCUCACCGAAGGUUCGAAUCCUUCACUCUCCGCCA
RNAcentral lists this transfer RNA (90 nucleotides) under Candidatus Omnitrophota bacterium. RNAcentral describes it as "tRNA-Ser". It matches the Rfam family "tRNA". From Rfam's summary of the family: Transfer RNA (tRNA) molecules are approximately 80 nucleotides in length. Their secondary structure includes four short double-helical elements and three loops (D, anti-codon, and T loops). The record is from RNAcentral. Lineage: Bacteria; Pseudomonadati; Candidatus Omnitrophota.